RNAcentral lists this ribosomal RNA (425 nucleotides) under uncultured bacterium. RNAcentral's name for it is "partial 16S ribosomal RNA". It matches the Rfam family "Bacterial small subunit ribosomal RNA", at positions 354 to 796 of the family's 1533-position model. The record is from RNAcentral.
GUGGGGAAUCUUAGACAAUGGGGGAAACCCUGAUCUAGCCAUGCCGCGUGAGCGAUGAAGGCCUUAGGGUUGUAAAGCUCUUUCAGCUGGGAAGAUAAUGACGGUACCAGCAGAAGAAGCCCCGGCUAACUCCGUGCCAGCAGCCGCGGUAAUACGGAGGGGGCUAGCGUUGUUCGGAAUUACUGGGCGUAAAGCGCGCGUAGGCGGACCAGAAAGUUGGAGGUGAAAUCCCAGGGCUCAACCUUGGAACUGCCUUCAAAACUCCUGGUCUGGAGUUCGGGAGAGGUGAGUGGAAUUCCGAGUGUAGAGGUGAAAUUCGUAGAUAUUCGGAGGAACACCAGUGGCGAAGGCGGCUCACUGGCUCGAUACUGACGCUGAGGUGUGAAAGCGUGGGGAGCAAACAGGAUUAGAAACCCGUGUAGUCC